GUUUGAUCCUGGCUCAGAGCGAACGUUAGCGGCAGGCUUAACACAUGCAAGUCGAGCGACAAAGGGGCUUCGGCCCUGAGUAGAGCGGCGGACGGGUGCGUAACACGUGGAUAAUCUGCCUCGUGGCGGGGGAUAACAGUCCGAAAGGACUGCUAAUACCGCAUGUCAGGUCGGAAAACCCCGGUUUCUGACGAAAAAGAGGGCGCCCGCAAGGGGCUCUCACCACGAGAUGAGUCCGCGGCCCAUCAGCUAGUUGGCGGUGUAAUAGACCACCAAGGCUAAGACGGGUAGCUGGUCUGAGAGGAUGACCAGCCACACUGGGACUGAGACACGGCCCAGACUCCUACGGGAGGCAGCAGUGGGGAAUAUUGGACAAUGGGCGAAAGCCUGAUCCAGCCAUGCCGCGUGAGUGAUGAAGGUCUUCGGAUCGUAAAGCUCUGUGGGAAGGGACGAAAAAAGGACCUAACCUAAUACGUUAGGUCUUGACGGUACCUUCUUAGCAAGCACCGGCUAACUCCGUGCCAG
RNAcentral lists this ribosomal RNA (525 nucleotides) under uncultured bacterium. RNAcentral describes it as "bacterial SSU rRNA". It matches the Rfam family "Bacterial small subunit ribosomal RNA", at positions 11 to 511 of the family's 1533-position model. The record is from RNAcentral.